GAUGAACGCUAGCGGCAGGCCUAAUACAUGCAAGUCGAACGGGAUUGAGGAGCUUGCUCCUCAUGAGAGCGGCGCACGGGUGCGUAACACGUAUGUAACCUACCUUAAUCAGGGGAAUAGCCUCUCGAAAGAGCGAUUAACACCGCAUAAAAUCACACUAUGUCAUCAUAAAAUGAUCAAAUAUUUAUAGGAUAAAGAUGGGCAUGCGGAACAUUAGCUAGUUGGUAAGGUAACGGCUUACCAAGGCUAAGAUGUUUAGGGGAUCUGAGAGGAUGGCCCCCCACACUGGUACUGAGACACGGACCAGACUCCUACGGGAGGCAGCAGUAAGGAAUAUUGGUCAAUGGGCGGAAGCCUGAACCAGCCAUGCCGCGUGCAGGAAGACGGCCCUACGGGUUGUAAACUGCUUUUGUACCGGAAUAAACCUUUCUACGUGUAGGAAGCUGAAUGUACGGUAAGAAUAAGGAUCGGCUAACUCCGUGCCAGCCGCCGCCGUAA
This 498-nucleotide ribosomal RNA is filed under the name uncultured bacterium. Its description in RNAcentral is "partial 16S ribosomal RNA". It matches the Rfam family "Bacterial small subunit ribosomal RNA", at positions 28 to 523 of the family's 1533-position model. The record is from RNAcentral.